CAAUAGCGUAUAUUAAAGUUGUUGCAGUUAAAAAGCUCGUAGUUGGAUUUCUGGUAGGAGUGACCGUUCCGAACUUGAUUGUUCGUGUAUUGUGUUUUCUCCAGCCAUCCUUGUGGAGAACUUUUCUUGCAUUAAUUUGUAGGGAUUGGGACCCGCAUCGUUUGCUGUGAAAAAAUUAGAGUGUUUAAAGCAGGCAAUCGCUUGAAUACAUUAGCAUGGAAUAAUAAGAUAGGACUUUGGUACUAUUUUGUUGGUUUGCAUACCAAAUUAAUGAUCAACAGGAACAGUUUGAGGAUAUUCGUAUGAACAUGUCAGAGGUGAAAUUCUUGGAUUUUGAUCAGACGAACUACUGCGAAAGCAUUUAUCAAGGAUGUUUUCAUUAA
RNAcentral lists this ribosomal RNA (383 nucleotides) under uncultured eukaryote. RNAcentral's name for it is "partial 18S ribosomal RNA". It matches the Rfam family "Eukaryotic small subunit ribosomal RNA", at positions 592 to 976 of the family's 1831-position model. The record is from RNAcentral.